Molecule: RNA transcript, 4695 nt
Organism: Piliocolobus tephrosceles (Ugandan red Colobus)
Lineage: Eukaryota; Metazoa; Chordata; Mammalia; Primates; Cercopithecidae
Gene name: cytochrome c oxidase subunit 7A2, mitochondrial-like
Exons: 1
Source: RefSeq, a predicted model, not a curated record
AUGCUGCAGAAUCUGCUGGCACUGUCAGGUUGCCCAGAGGACCAUGAGCAUUGCUUCACGCAGGCAUUUUGAAAAUAAAGGUCCAGAAAACACAAGCUGUUUCAGGAGAAGAACAGAAUUCCAGUGCAUCUAAAGGGUGGUGGAGCUGAUGACCUCCUGUAUAGAGCCACCGUGAUUCUCGAUUAGUGAAACAGCAUAUGCCAUGCAUCAGCUGGCUGUGGUUUCAUUUCCCAAGAAAUAGGAUUGACAUCAGUCAUCACAGCAGUGACUUGAUUCAGUUUCAUUCAGCUCUCUAUGGACUCCUAGUCUGAUAAAUAACUAAGUCCUUCUUUGAGGAUCAAAAUUUGAAUUGUACUAACUGCCACCAAUAAAGUAGUCUUUAUCAAAAAUAAAAACCAAAAUCCUUGAGUGCUAACAGACAAAUCCAGGGCAGAAAUAUUGCCACUGAGGUUGAAGUUGGGGGUAAGAGGGUAUUGUACGUGACCUUGGGCACAGGUGGCCUAGCAUGAAACAAAACUACAACCCACUCAUGGAACUAGCAGGAGGGGUGGGAUUUUCCUACAGUGACAAAUUCCUUGUGGAAUAGGGAGAAACCUAGAGUGAACAUGAGAACUAGAGGUUGGAUUCUUUGUGUAAACAACGGAUAGUAAAAUUUUUAAGCUCCUAUACUACCUUUAUAACAUAUCCGUUUGGGUUGAUAGGAGAGCAAAGGGAAAAACAGGGCAGAGGAAAGAAGUUUCCAAGGGAUUGAAAGGUAUUACCCAGGCUUCUAGUUACUUAUCCUAGGGUCGGAUCCAUCCUGAGCUGGGUGUAUAUAUGAUUACUUUUUCUAGCUAACCCCUCUUUCUAGAAAAGCUAUUUUUAAAGGAAGUAACUACCAUUUGGACACGUUUCAGAAUCCAUUUUUAUGCUUUGGUUUUUAUUGUCUCAGUUUAACAUUUCUGUGAGGUAGACAGUAUUAUCCCUAAAUGACAGCUAAAGAACCUCGUGAGUACUUCCUGGUAAGUGGCUGUGUGAUCAAACAAACAGCCUGAGAGUAUCCAGCCGUGGUUCCAGGUCUAACCCCAAAAUGUUUAGAAGGCAGGUUAUCCAAACUUCUGACUACUCCCCACUUUGCUUCUCUUGGUAGAGUGACAACCAACAAGCUGCUGCUUUCCAUUAUCAUCUUACUGGAGCUCGCCAUCCUGGGAGGCCUGGUUUACUACAAAUUCUUUCGCAACCAUUGAACUUCUAUAGGGAAGGGUUUGUGGACCAGAACUUUGACCUUGUGAAUGCAUGAUGUUAGGGAUGUGGAUAGAAUAAACAUAUUGCUGCUGUGGGCUAACAGUUCAGGUAUGCACUGGGUAGCCAAACUGUGGGAGGAGGGAGGAAAAAUGGAAAACCACUUAAAUGUGAAGGAACAGCAACAAGACCAGUAUGAUAUACCAAGGUAAUAAAUGCUGUUUAUGACUUCUUUAAAUUUACAUAGUACUGUAGCAUAUUAAUACCCUGUGAACUGCAAAAAGCCAAAUACAUUUACAGUAGUAUUGGUCACCAAAAUAGAGGGGAAACUUUACAAUUGUGAGAAUGUGUAAAUGUUCUUACACAUUAGACACCUGGCUAAUUAAGGCAGUAUUGACCCAGACAACCAUUUUGUAUCUGUCUGUCCCCUCAAUGCCUCAUAAUUCUGGAAUGCCCGUUGUGAAACAUGUUAGUGCAUAGUAUAUCCUAAAUUCUCACACGUGCUUGAUUUUCUGAUUCAUCUGGUGAACUGGGAGUAGGAAGUUGGCCAUAGACAAUAUGCCCUCCUUCUCUUGUCUGACCAAAACUUGAAGCAAUCACAUCCACUGCCAGGUUAGCUGUAGUCUUCGCCUCUUCCUCUGAGGUGGCCAACUGAGGAUUGACUUCAACAAGAUCCAGUGCCGACAGCAACCCUGGAAGAACAAAGUGUGACAAAACCUCAAAUUCCCUUGCUACUACUCUCAGUGAGGGUCAUCCCACUGGGACAGGGAGAACAAGCCAAGGUAAAAACAAGAGUCCCUUUUGUAGUAGAAAAUACCUAUUUUCAGGAAGCCCCUUGCACCUCAUCCUCUUGGCCAUGAAUUUAAGUUAAAACACUGUUAUGCUCCAGUAGAUUAAAAGAAACCUUUAAGAUAACUAAAUAAACCAUUCUUGUUCAACUAACAUAAUAGGCAUAAUUGUCAGGCCUUCUGGAAAAGGAAAAGGCUUGGUGUUGGGUGGGGGAGGUUUUCAUCCUGCUUGUUGGCAAAAUGUAUACCAUCUCCAGUAUGACUAGGAACCUUCCAGAUGCCUGCCUGGAAAUGAAUCAAGUAUGAAGGCAGAGGAAAUCUCCCACUUUCACUAGCUAAACUCCAUUCCCACUUUUGAACUCUAAUGUGUUUUCUGUAUCUGUUAGAGCACCACACCAUAUGCGCUGAAAUGUAGUUAUUACUGCAAGCUUCAUUCUCACCCCUGCAGGCCUGAGCUCUGGAGGCAGGUUCCACAUCUAACACAUCUUUUGUCUCCCAGCAGACUGACCCAGUAUCUUCUACUUGAUCAAGAGAAGAUUCAGCCAUAUGUUAGUUAUUUUAUUUGGACUCCAGUUACCUUCUGUUAAGGUUUGAGAACUUCUGUCAAAGUUCUCAGUACUGUUCCUUUGGCCUGGAGCAAGUGGAAGGGAAGCUUAAACCAGAAGAACCUAUCCAGACCUGCUAACAUGCUCACCCCUCUAAAUGCCUCAUUGCUCUGUAGAAUUUAACUUUUUAGUUGGUUAUUCUGGAUGAAGCGUGAUCUGAACAAGCUAGUAUUCAGGAAUACAAGUAUCUGAGAAUAUUCAGGGUGGCCAUAAAGUCUGGAAACACAGGCGAAUGUACCUAAUGGUUUAUUGAUAUUACACUAUAGUACAUGAUGUGCUCAAUGCCAUAUGUCCAUUCAGCAUCUUCCCUUAUUAGCAAUGUGUAGUUGAGUGUAUGGUGCCAAACUGCAACCAACAGGUAUAUUACUGUAGCAUUUCCAUCAUUUCCUGCACAUAGACCUGUGUUCCUGAUUUGUCUCUUGAUUUCCACUGACUAAACCUGCACCUUUAGCAUAUCUUAGAAGUGGUAAUCAAGGUUUGCAGUAUUAGAAAUACAUGCAUGACUUAUGUUUCCAGACUAUUGUCACCCUUUAAGCAAACUGCUUUAGGUAUCCAGUUGACAGCAUUAUAACAGUGCAGUGGCACAGUCAUGGCUAACUGCAAACUCAACCUCCCAAGUAGUUGGGACACCUGGCUAAUUAUUUUUUUUAGAAACAGGGUCUCACUAUGUUGCCCAGGCUGGUCUUGAACCCCUGGGGUCAAGUAAUCCUCCUGCCUUGGCCUCCCAGAGUACUGGGAUUAUAGGUAUGAACCACUGUGCCUAGCCCCAUGAGUGUCUUUUGGAAUAAAAUAUUGUAGCAUGGGAACAAAGAGACAAGUCAUGGCCGCUGCCACAUAUAAGUGCUAGAGGUUAUAACCCCUGCUCUAAAGUGGUGUUUUUAGGAAGCAAAGCAGAGAAUUGAACUCCCAGGUUCUCUGACCAAUAACCUGAGGACCACUGGCAACAUCUAAGAUUGCAGAUCUGAGAAUUAGACCAGUACUACCUGCCUUUCUGUACUGCCUAAGGUUCUAGCAGGCUGUGGCACUAAGGAGACCAUUUCUCAAUGUCAGUUUCUAUCCCAUCUAGUCAGGGGUUCUCUAUGGCCCUGAACCUUUCAAUCUGGGGUCUCUAUCCAUACCUUAGUUCCAUCACAUGGUUACUGAAGCAGUAUGAUUUGGUAGUUCUUUAAAUUUUGGAAUGAAAGGUCAUUUGAAGUAGCUUUAAAACCAGAAGCUUUCUGACAGAAAUGGAAACUGUUUGCAAACAAGUAUGAGUUUUGGAAAAGUAGCCAGUCUUGAUAACGUACAAUUCAUCUUAGUACUCUUUCCAUCAAUCAUUCUCAUCUAACUGUAUCCCCCUUAUUAGAGAUCCUAUCAGGCUCUAAUACAAGACCUACCCUACAUAAAGGACCCAAGAUAUUGUCCAAUUUGCAGAUUUCUUCAAGAGAUCAGCUUUAACUCCAAAUUCACAACUCCCAGUGAACCAACCUCUUAGAGUGUAAAUUACAGUCUUGGUCUUGCCUUCUUAUCUUAAUCUGCCUUUAGAUAACUCAGACACAAAGAACUGCAUCAGUUUGACAAUUUAUUCUUGUAUUUAGUUGUUUAAAUAUACAGUUUUUUACUCAUUAUUGCCUUAGUGUAAUUUGGCAAGAGCCAUGUCCAAGCAUGACUCUAAAGUAGUCCUUUUUUAUUAGCAUGGCCAUAUAAUUUUUAGCUACAAAAGUUCAAGCAAAAACAAACUCUGCAAUGAUGUGGAAUAUCAGAAAGAUCCUUUGCAGGCAAGAGACUCUAGCAUAUUUACCUAUUUUGUUAACAGGCUGCAGACCUGGUUGCUACAUACCUGUAUUGUGUAUUUCCUCAGCAAUAUACAUGCCUUCUCGAUAGGUUAGUCCCCCUACAACAGGAGUUCCUGUGGCUGGAGCUAGUGUAGGGUCAAAUGCAUCAAUAUCAAAACUCAGAUGGAUUGGUCUUUGUCUCCUAGAAAGGAAGAAGAUAAAAUAAUAUUUAACUGGUUGUGCUUAGACACUCAUCCUUCUCAUGGUUGCAACUCCUUGAUUUUGCUAUUUGUCCUGGUACUUUGUUAAUAAAGCUGUUAAUACAUU